This is a long non-coding RNA of Trichomycterus rosablanca, 445 nucleotides long. RefSeq lists it as uncharacterized. Lineage: Eukaryota; Metazoa; Chordata; Actinopteri; Siluriformes; Trichomycteridae. The record is from RefSeq and is a predicted model, not a curated record. The transcript has 2 exons.
GUGUAACUUCCCGGUGGUUUACGGACCCGGGUUAUUUUACUCAUUAGCGCCGUCUGGUGAGCCGGAGCGAGAGAUGGGUCGUGUUCCAAACCGAGGACGUAGUGCACCAAGUAGCUUUGCACUUCCUCAGGGAUAAAGGAGAUAUUUGGGAUUCAGCCGCUGUACCGCUCCUCAGCUGUAAAAGCACAGAAACACCCACUGAUGCUCUCUGCUUGCACAGCUGAUACAGAACCGAUGUAAACAAGCCACCCUCUGAUUUUAUAAUGUAUACAAUAUCUACAUGUACACAUAUUUCUGAACAAGGUCGGUCAGGUCUAAAAAAAAAAAGUUAACGUUUAUUUUUCUUGCUUGAACCCAGGCUGAUAUAUCAGUUAAUGUCUGUGCUCAGCAUGUUCUCCCCUAUCAACCGUGUGUUUGGGUUGUUGGUAUAAAAUAUAAAUUUUUA